UACGUAGGGUGCGAGCGUUGUCCGGAAUUACUGGGCGUAAAGAGCUCGUAGGUGGUUUGUCGCGUUGUUCGUGAAAACUCACAGCUUAACUGUGGGCGUGCGGGCGAUACGGGCAGACUUGAGUUCGGUAGGGGAGACUGGAAUUCCUGGUGUAGCGGUGAAAUGCGCAGAUAUCAGGAGGAACACCGGUGGCGAAGGCGGGUCUCUGGGCCGAUACUGACGCUGAGGAGCGAAAGCGUGGGGAGCGAACAGG
Molecule: ribosomal RNA, 253 nt
Filed under: uncultured bacterium
Lineage: Bacteria
Description: partial 16S ribosomal RNA
Rfam family: Bacterial small subunit ribosomal RNA
Source: RNAcentral